Molecule: long non-coding RNA, 3636 nt
Organism: Anas platyrhynchos (mallard)
Lineage: Eukaryota; Metazoa; Chordata; Aves; Anseriformes; Anatidae
Source: RefSeq, a predicted model, not a curated record
UCGUAAGGUCACACACGCUUUAAGCAGUGGCAGGAUUUUCUGCCUGACCUUCUACAUAGCACGGCAUCAGAGGAGAGUGGUGGCCCUGGACAUCCCAGGAGCUGCUUCUGCCAAACUGCAGAUGGCCUGCAGUGAUCCCUGCUCUCUGACAAGACACCGCAAAUCUCUGGGAGGUGAUGCCUGCAGUCAGAGCUGGAACGAGCAGGAUCCUUCCCUCCUUGCCAGAAGCCCAGUGCUGUGUUUGUGGAGCAGAGUGCACAGGAUGGAAGCAGAUGAACAGGAAUACACAUGAAUACAUCACCAACUCUUACUGACCAUUACAUGAAGUUGUCUGGACCAACGGAACAACAUCCUGUGUGUGACACAGCAUCUUGAGUCAGCAUUUGCAUCAUUCAACCCUUUAUCUGCAUAGGUCACUUUUCAUUUCUGCUGAGCCCAAGGAACUGUGGCCAUGGUUGUCCCAUCAUCAUACUUCACUCAUGAGCAGCUCACCCAGAGCUCUGGCUCUGCAAACACUGACAGUAACCAGGCAGUAAUAAGUCUCACUGUUUGGGACCACAAACAUGAUCUCUGUGGAAAUCACCAUUUCAGAUAGCUACAUUUUGAAAUCCCCAUGUCAUAGCCUAACCUGAAACUUCAUCAGUCUUCGUGUGUAUUCCUGCUGUUCCAAACCAUGGUCUCUGUGUCUGGAGAUCCUCCAUUCAAACCAUCUCUUUCCAGCAUAGCGUACAUGUACGGGCACAAUGAGGCCUGCUCUGUUUGGUACCAGGUCUGUCAUAAGCCUGCCUUUGGUGCUGUGAAAAGGAGACUUGUGUCUACUGGAGAUGCAGGAGGGGGAAGUGUCUGGUGCUAUUCCUCCACCUGGGAGUUUUGUGGACUCACAGUGUGCUGGGACCUGAGCUGUUACUGUAAGUCCUGUACAUCCUUUCUCAUGUGCUGCUUUUCCAGGUGAACACAUUUGACUGCCCAAAACCAACCCAUGACCACAGCUGACAGCAAUGGUGACUGAAACACUAUCCAUAGAGGGUGCCCACUCCACAAGAUGAGAAUGUCUCCUAGCUCCUAGUCUGGAUGAGACAGAGCAGCUUUCUGCCCCUAUGAACUAACGGAGCUAGGGCUGUGGCUGCAUUCCUGAUUUGACCAGCCCUGAUGAGACCCAGCCUGCAUCUCCCCACGUGCAGAGGGGCUGCCCUUGUGAGAGAGCACAUUUGGGAGCUGGGAGAGAGGGGAAGAGUUGCACUGACAUGCACUGCAGGCAGAAAACCCUUCUGAAGAAUACGCGUUUCAGUGCUACCGACUCUUUUUUGCUUCUCUCCCAGAGCACUGCAGGGGCUUGAGCAUGCUGGGUGUCUGCAGCCUCUCGUGUUUCCUGUUUUCAUUCCAGUAUCUGAAAUGCUAACAUACUGCAUGCCUUGAAUUCCAGCCCUGACGCACCAGGAAAAGGGGCCAAGGGCAGAUGCAUGGGAGUCUUGGAGCCUUUCGUGCCCUUUCCUCAGUCAGGCUGGGGAUAUUGAUAACUCCCUGAUUCUGUCCUUCAUCCACUUUCCUCCCUUCUCUCAUCUCUUUCCAAGACUUUCUGUAUUAUCCCUCACUAUUUAAUGCUAGCAUAUUCUUCUGGCAGAGAAGGGCUCUGAUUUGCCCUUCUUUGCUAAAAGCAGCAGCCAGAAGAGCUCCCUUUCUGAAUCAGAAAGGGAUGAUUCAGAAAGUGUGUACAAAAGAUUGCUCUGAGAUUCAUGAGCUUUUGCAAAAUAUGUAACAUAGUGGACAUAAUACCAUUUCCCCAUUGUAGUGAUAGCUUGCUAAUUCCUCCCUCUUCAUGGUAUAAAUCAGGAGUAAAACCCUUUAGGCAGUGGAAGGAUUCUUUUAGCAAAUAUUUAAUAACACUGCUUUCUGCGCAGCAUCAACCAGACGCAUCUGUUACGUGCCGUCCCUCAAGUCCCCAUCCAGCACGCACACCGUGCCCAAGACACACAAAACAUGCAGAUUUGGCAAUUCGUGAUUUAAGAGACAAAUCCUGACAAAAUUACAGUGGUUAGUUGAGGCCAGAUGUUGAGAGCAGAAAUGUGGACUCUAAGCUGUGGCCAAGGCAAAACCCAAGCAACGUGCAAUGGCACGGGAGCUUUCCAGCCCCAUCUGCAGCACCUGCUGUUGGCAGGACCCACUCUCAUUUCAUCCCCUGCUAAUGUCUGCAGGAGCUCAUGUCACUGCUCAGCUUUGGCCAAGGCAAAGCUGGUAGCUGUGCCCACAGACGGGCAAGACAUGUACUGCAAUUUCCAGUACUGAUAGCAUCGCUCAAAGGAUUUCUUCCAAAAACUGUGCUGGCCCAGGGGCAGCUGCCUUUCCCCAUGAGGAAGGUGACAGUAGUGUGAGAGUGAGUCACGGAGAAGCAGCAGAUUUCCACCCAAAGUGGAGCUUUCUCCACACAUAGCCAUCCCACUCUGCCCAUGACUUUGAGCUUGCAGCUUUUCUGUCCCAAAAGAAAGCAGCUCCACUUUUUUAUGUACCUACUGCCUGUUCCUCUGUGACUCCCUGCCUGCCCCCUCUCCCAGCUUCAGGGACCUGAAUAUCCCAGACCCACUGUCAGUGUGGAGAGGAGUGGGGCAGGGAGGGAAGGAUCAUCUCCAGGUGGCAUAAGAGAUAAGGGCAGAGGAGCAGCAGUGAAAGACCACUCCAGCAGGACAGCAGGUCUCAGCCCAACCCACAGAGUUCAGGUUUCCAGCCUAGGAUCAGCUGUCUUUGAGGGCUACUACUCAGGUGUCUCUGCAAGAUCAGAUAACCCUUCAGAUAACAGCAGACUUUAGUCCCGAGGCACAGCUCACACUCCUGGAAGUGCCUUAAGGACAUGGAAGCUGAAACCCCCUGUGCUGGACGAGAGCAGCUCCUGCUCAUGGAGAUGUUGUGAAGCGAGGCAAUGCCCUGUGCUCCCUGCAGGCCAUGCGGAGCCAUUGGGGCUGCAGCAUCCUCCGUCCCCCAGCUGCAGCUGCCCAUCCACAGGGGGAUCCUGAACACAGCACCCAGAAGCUUCGUGGGCUGACCCCAACUCCUCUGAGACCACUUCAGCUCCAUGUCAGUAGUUGGUUCCUUUGUUUUGGGCUUCUCAUGAAAACUUCUCUUUUUCAUUGUUUAAAACCAUAUCCUAUUCCCAGCAUCUUGAACUGAAAGGUAUAAAAGACAAAUGGUUUCUCGCACAAUGUUUUAAUUAUUUAGUUAAAGAAGGGGCUGUAUUUUGUCUUAUUUUACUCACUUAGAGACACAGGCAGUUUAAAGUGGACAUGCAAUUAAUUAAAAUUGAUAGCUCUACUUUUUCAGGAAGCUUAUUUUUUUUUAAAAAUGUUGCUUUCACUAGUGUUUUCUUUUUACUACCUUCACCAUCCUCUCCCUUACUUUUUACCUUUGCUGCAUCUGAGACAUGUUUUUCUUGUGAGAAAAGUAAAAAAAAAAUUGAAAAACAGAAAACCACGUGAGAGAUGAGAAAAAGUGAUCAAAUUGCCUAUUUCUUCUAGGUCAAAAGCACAGAAUCGGUGUGCAAUGUUCUCCAGCAUUCUUGCACAGCUCUAGGAAAGAGGCUUGUUCUGAAAAGGCUGUUCUGAUGAAAUCACAUUUUCCAUUACCAAAAAAAAAAAAAAAAAAAAAAAA